ACUCAAAGGAAUAGACGGGGACCCGCACAAGCGGUGGAUGAUGUGGAUUAAUUCGAUGCAACGCGAAAAACCUUACCUACCCUUGACAUGGAUCAGAUCCUGCAGAGAUGCGGGAGUGCUCGCAAGAGAAUGGUCGCACAGGUGCUGCAUGGCUGUCGUCAGCUCGUGUCGUGAGAUGUUGGGUUAAGUCCCGCAACGAGCGCAACCCUUGUCAUUAAUUGCCAUCAUUCGGUUGGGCACUUUAAUGAGACUGCCGGUGACAAACCGGAGGAAGGUGGGGAUGACGUCAAGUCCUCAUGGCCCUUAUGGGUAGGGCUUCACACGUCAUACAAUGGUGCAUACAGAGGGUUGCCAGGCCGCGAGGCGGAGCUAAUCCCGGAAAGUGCAUCGUAGUCCGGAUUGGAGUCUGCAACCCGACUCCAUGAAGUUGGAAUCGCUAGUAAUCGCGGAUCAGCAUGUCGCGGUGAAUACGUUCCCGGGUCUUGUACACACCGCCCGU
This 499-nucleotide ribosomal RNA is filed under the name uncultured bacterium. Its description in RNAcentral is "partial 16S ribosomal RNA". It matches the Rfam family "Bacterial small subunit ribosomal RNA", at positions 899 to 1397 of the family's 1533-position model. The record is from RNAcentral.